AGUGAACGCUGGCGGUAGGCCUAACACAUGCAAGUCGAACGGCAGCACAGUAAGAGCUUGCUCUUACGGGUGGCGAGUGGCGGACGGGUGAGGAAUACAUCGGAAUCUACUUUUUCGUGGGGGAUAACGUAGGGAAACUUACGCUAAUACCGCAUACGACCUACGGGUGAAAGCAGGGGAUCUUCGGACCUUGCGCGAUUGAAUGAGCCGAUGUCGGAUUAGCUAGUUGGCGGGGUAAAGGCCCACCAAGGCGACGAUCCGUAGCUGGUCUGAGAGGAUGACUGGCCAAACUGGAACUGAGACACGGUCCAGACUCCUACGGGAGGCAGCAGUGGGGAAUAUUGGACAAUGGGCGCAAGCCUGAUCCAGCCAUACCGCGUGGGUGAAGAAGGACUUCGGGUUGUAAAGCCCUUUUGUUGGGAAAGAAAAGCAGCAGGUUAAUACCCCGCUGUUCUGACGGUACCCAAAGAAUAAGCACCGGCUAACUUCGUG
This 492-nucleotide ribosomal RNA is filed under the name uncultured bacterium. RNAcentral describes it as "partial 16S ribosomal RNA". It matches the Rfam family "Bacterial small subunit ribosomal RNA", at positions 29 to 507 of the family's 1533-position model. The record is from RNAcentral.